RNAcentral lists this ribosomal RNA (598 nucleotides) under Trametes vernicipes. Its description in RNAcentral is "eukaryotic LSU rRNA". It matches the Rfam family "Eukaryotic large subunit ribosomal RNA", at positions 66 to 648 of the family's 3401-position model. The record is from RNAcentral. Lineage: Eukaryota; Fungi; Basidiomycota; Agaricomycetes; Polyporales; Polyporaceae.
UAACAAGGAUUCCCCUAGUAACUGCGAGUGAAGCGGGAAAAGCUCAAAUUUAAAAUCUGGCGGUCUUUGGCCGUCCGAGUUGUAGUCUGGAGAAGUGCUUUCCGCGCUGGACCGUGUAUAAGUCUCUUGGAACAGAGCGUCAUAGAGGGUGAGAAUCCCGUCUUUGACACGGACUACCAGUGCUUUGUGAUGCGCUCUCAAAGAGUCGAGUUGUUUGGGAAUGCAGCUCAAAAUGGGUGGUAAAUUCCAUCUAAAGCUAAAUAUUGGCGAGAGACCGAUAGCGAACAAGUACCGUGAGGGAAAGAUGAAAAGCACUUUGGAAAGAGAGUUAAACAGUACGUGAAAUUGCUGAAAGGGAAACGCUUGAAGUCAGUCGCGUCUGCCGGAACUCAGCCUUGCUUUUGCUUGGUGCAUUUUCCGGUUGACGGGCCAGCAUCGAUUUUGACCGUCGGAAAAGGGCUAGGGAAAUGUGGCACCUUCGGGUGUGUUAUAGUCUCUAGUCGCAUACGACGGUUGGGAUCGAGGACCGCAGCGCGCCGCAAGGCAGGGGUUCGCCCACUUUCGCGCUUAGGAUGCUGGCAUAAUGGCUUUAAACGAC